Molecule: ribosomal RNA, 253 nt
Filed under: uncultured bacterium
Lineage: Bacteria
Description: partial 16S ribosomal RNA
Rfam family: Bacterial small subunit ribosomal RNA
Source: RNAcentral
UACGAGGGGGGCAAAUGUUGUUCGGAAUCACUGGGCGUAAAGGGAGCGUAGGCGGGCUUCUAAGUUAGGUGUUUAAUCCCAGGGCCCAACCCUGGUCAGGCACCUAAAACUGGGAGUCUUGAAUAGUGGAGAGGACGAUGGAAUUGGGGGUGUAGCGGUGGAAUGCGUAGAGAUCGCCAAGAACACCAGUUGCGAAGGCGGUCGUCUGGACACAUAUUGACGCUGAGGCUCGAAAGCAUGGGGAGCAAACAGG